RNAcentral lists this transfer RNA (68 nucleotides) under Marmota monax (woodchuck). RNAcentral's name for it is "tRNA.Ala". The stretch from base 6 to 63 matches the Rfam family "tRNA", at positions 8 to 63 of the family's 71-position model. From Rfam's summary of the family: Transfer RNA (tRNA) molecules are approximately 80 nucleotides in length. Their secondary structure includes four short double-helical elements and three loops (D, anti-codon, and T loops). Further hydrogen bonds mediate the characteristic L-shaped molecular structure. tRNAs have two regions of fundamental functional importance: the anti-codon, which is responsible for specific mRNA codon recognition, and the 3' end, to which the tRNAs corresponding amino acid is attached (by aminoacyl-tRNA synthetases). tRNAs cope with the degeneracy of the genetic code in two manners: having more than one tRNA (with a specific anti-codon) for a particular amino acid; and 'wobble' base-pairing, i.e. permitting non-standard base-pairing at the 3rd anti-codon position. Lineage: Eukaryota; Metazoa; Chordata; Mammalia; Rodentia; Sciuridae. The record is from RNAcentral.
GGAAAUAGCUCAGCUGGUAGAGUGCUUGCCUUGCAUGCACAAGGCCCUGGGUUCAAUCCCCAGCACCA